This is a long non-coding RNA of Physeter macrocephalus (sperm whale), 3177 nucleotides long. RefSeq lists it as uncharacterized. The record is from RefSeq and is a predicted model, not a curated record. The transcript is spliced from 3 exons. Lineage: Eukaryota; Metazoa; Chordata; Mammalia; Artiodactyla; Physeteridae.
GAGUUCCUACCUACUUGAAAAACAUGGUGAAUACCUGUCAUAACUAUCCCAGGAGAUCCUAAGAGAGAGAAUUGGGAGCUCUGUGUCCAUGGAAUGAUGUCUCCGGAAGUGUCACAACUACUGAUGCUCAGCCUGCCUUUCCCUUUUCAGUCCUCAGCAGCCUGCAUGCUCUCCAUCACCUUAUCCCCAAGCAUGUUUGCCUGACUCCUGCCUUCCUUUCCCAACCUCCCCACCCCAGGACCCACUGCCUUCUUCCACUGUUGAAUGUGGCUGAAAUCAGGGAAACCUUUGCUUGUUUAUUUUUAAAAAAGGGAGUCCUCAGUAGGGAACAAAGUCAUUUCAUUGUGCCAUUCUAGGGGGCUCAUGUGUGGAGGACUGACAACACCACCUAAGACUGACUGAUCCCAGCAAGCUGGCUCCUUCCCACAUAUAUUUCUUAAUGGUCUGGUGUCCAUCUGGCAAGGGGACAGGAUGGCAGUUCCUGGGAUGAGUGGGACAGGCUUGGGGUCUGCACUCAAGGAGCUUAUGAUUCAGUGAAGAAGACACAGUGGACAAGCUGUUGAAAAGGUGAUGAGUUGUGAGAAAGGGCAAGUAGAGGGGGCUAGAGUCUCAACCUGGGGGCACUAACCAAGUCUGAGGGAUCAUGGGAGUGCAUGUUGGAUUUGGCUGGAUGAAGGUUGGAGAAGAAAACUUCCACAUGGAAGCAACCAUUUCCACAAAACUCCUCAUGCAGGAGAACCAGUCACAUCUGAAGAACUACCAAAGGCCAGUAGGUCUGAGCAAUGAAAAUGAAGGAAGGCAUCUCACAUGUGGCUGAAGAAGGAGGCAGUGAGGCCGUGGGAGACCCUGAGAGCCAUGGCAAAGAUUUUGAACUUCAUACCCAGAACACCAGUAAGCUUUGAAGGAUUUUAGGCUGAACAGUGACCUGUUUAUCUUUUAACAGUUCUGGUGUCAGAAAAAGGAACUGAAGGAGACCCUUGAAGACCCCCAGGAGCACAAGGAACCAGACUUUUCUUUGACACUUCUCAAUCUUGAGGUAAACAGAUGCUGGUCAAGAAAAGGAAUAAUCGUUUGGAUAGAGAGGUUAAUCAUAAACUUGGCAGAGGAGCUCAGUUUUAGUGGGACUUGGUUUCAAGCCCCACUCCUGUUUCAACCUUUCUCAAAUCUUUCAGGGAACAACAGGCCAACUGCUGUGGCUACUUCCUGCUGAAACGGGGCAUAAUCCUGCCUCAGUUUGGAGAAUGGACACCAAAUUGAAAAUAUUCUUGACUUCCAGGUCCUGGGAUCUUGUAUGAUCAGGAUCUCAAUCCCUUGAUCUGUCAUUUUGGUACAACAGGCCCAAUUAGAAGUAGGAGGAGUGACAACCUGAACGUUAAUGGACAAAAUAGAUCUCAUUACCAUAUGAAUUCAAGAGAAUAAGCCUGAAACCCAGUCUGGACCUAUCACUUCAAGGAGACUUUUAGCCCCAGGUAUCCAGUUGUCUAAUUUUACCUACUUUUAGCCAGGUAUCCAGUUGUCUAAUUUUACCUAAGUAGGUCUAAACUUCCGAUGUGGUAUUAUACAUAACAGGAGCUAUUGGCCACUACACAUAUAUCUCUUUUUUUCUGCUGAUCUAAAGCAAUUUUAUUGUCUAAAAUUUAAUAGUUACAAGGGGAGACCUUGAAGCCAUAAGGUUGCAGCUUCCACCUGCCAGCAGAAACUACCUUGAGAAUGGCUAGUGGCAUCCUGAAUCUGUCACAGCUCAGAAAACUCUAAGUUCCCAGCAAUAUAGGAACAUGUCUAAAAUCACAUCUGGGACUUCCCUGGCUGUCCAAUGGUUAGGACUCUGUGCUUCCACUGCAGGGGGCAUGGGUUCGAUCCUUGGUUAGGGAACUAAGAUGCCACAUGCCGUGUGGCGCUGCCAAAAAUUUUUUUAAAAAUAAUUAAUUAAUUUAAAAAAUAACACUGGAACCAGCUCAACCACACCCAGGCCCCAGACACACUGAAAUCCUGAGAUAAAAAAUGUUAUUUUUAGCCAAUAAGUUCUGGCGUAAUUUGGUACAGCGUUAGGUGACUAAUCCUCUACCUCACUUUACUCAGGUCUCUGCUCAAAUGUCUCGCGUUUCACCUCCAAAACCAAGCAAAUCAACAAAAGUGAUCACACAUUAUUCUCUAUCCCCUUACCCCCAUCUGCAUUAUUCCUUACGGGAAUUAUCUCUACUUACAUAUAUAUUAUGUAUUUAUUUAUUAGCUAGCUUCCCUCCUAGAAUGAAAAUUGAAUGGAAACGAUGUCUCUCAUUUCACUGGUAAAUAAGAUGAAUAUAUAUUCGCCCUGAUGGUGCUUAGGUCUGUUUGACAAAUACUUAUUUUAGGGCUACUAUAUACCAGGUCCAGUGACCAUGGGUUAUUUCUUCCUGUUCCCUGGUGUCUGGGCUGUUUAAUUUUAGUCUCUGGGCUAAUUAUUUUUUUCCUUGUUAUCGUUGUUAAAUUGCUCUGCUUUGAUAAUGCAUCUUUCUAUGCCUUUAACUGAGUAUUUAAUUAAAAUACAAACAUUUUGCCAAGGCUAGAGCUUGUAUGUGCUCACUUGAAGUCCCAUGAUGAAUGAUCAUAAUUAUUUGAAUAUUUCUUACUUCACACUGUACUGAAAUCUAACUUCCUAUUACUUUCAUCGAUUGACCUUUCCUUUAUUACAGAAAUAAUAAAGAACAUAUCUAUUCUGUUCCACAAACCUGGUUCUAAUUAUUAUACUAAUAUUAACUCUAUUUCUUUGGGUAUAAGGUCUGUUUAUUGAAUUUAUUGUCUUUUUUUUAUGCUAUAGACUUUUCUUGGAUGUUUGGUAUUUCCCCAUUUGGUGCUCACCUUUGCAAUUGAGAUUCCAAUUCAACUUUCUGCUUCAUUAGAGGAGGUGUGGGAGCUACUCCUGAGGCUCACUGUCCCCCAGUUUCCACUGGGAGUGGGAGGGUUCACAGUGCCAUUAGCCAGGCAAAAAAAAUUCAAGGUGGGAAAAGUCACAUGAAUCAAGGUACCAAAAAAAAAAUGUCACAUUCCUUUAUAUUUCCCGAGAAGUUUUUAUCGUUUUGACCCCUUGUGUGAGUUCGAAUGACAAAUUCCAGGUCCUGCCAAGUGACUACAAGGUAUUUCUCAGUCCCUCUCUUUAUCCUCCCUCCUGUCCCUUCAGUGAAGUCCCUGGAGGGUAAA